CCUACGGGAGGCAGCAGUGGGGAAUAUUGGACAAUGGGCGAAAGCCUGAUCCAGCAAUGCCGCGUGAGUGAUGAAGGCCUUAGGGUCGUAAAGCUCUUUUACCCGGGAUGAUAAUGACAGUACCGGGAGAAUAAGCCCCGGCUAACUCCGUGCCAGCAGCCGCGGUAAUACGGAGGGGGCUAGCGUUGUUCGGAAUUACUGGGCGUAAAGCGUGCGUAGGCGGUUAUUCAAGUCAGAGGUGAAAGCCCGGGGCUCAACCCCGGAACGGCCUUUGAAACUAGGUAGCUAGAAUCUUGGAGAGGUCAGUGGAAUUCCGAGUGUAGAGGUGAAAUUCGUAGAUAUUCGGAAGAACACCAGUGGCGAAGGCGACUGACUGGACAAGUAUUGACGCUGAGGCACGAAAGCGUGGGGAGCAAACAGGAUUAGAUACCCUGGUAGUCCACGCCGUAAACGAUGAUAACUAGCUGUUCGGGUACUUGGUAUCUGUAGUGGUCGCGAGCUACGACAUUAAGUUAUCCGUCCGUCGGGUAGGUACGGUCGCGAGAAUUAAACUUAAAAUUAGUAAGUUAGUACGGACGUGAGACGUGCCGACGGACGACGACGAGGGAGGUAGG
RNAcentral lists this ribosomal RNA (614 nucleotides) under uncultured bacterium. RNAcentral's name for it is "bacterial SSU rRNA". The stretch from base 1 to 521 matches the Rfam family "Bacterial small subunit ribosomal RNA", at positions 338 to 873 of the family's 1533-position model. The record is from RNAcentral.